Molecule: transfer RNA, 72 nt
Filed under: Prevotella sp.
Lineage: Bacteria; Pseudomonadati; Bacteroidota; Bacteroidia; Bacteroidales; Prevotellaceae
Description: tRNA-Gln
Rfam family: tRNA
About the family: Transfer RNA (tRNA) molecules are approximately 80 nucleotides in length. Their secondary structure includes four short double-helical elements and three loops (D, anti-codon, and T loops).
Source: RNAcentral
UAGGAGAUUGGUGUAAUGGCAGCACAUGAGACUCUGGCUCUCAUGGCAGGGGUUCGAGCCCUCUCUCCUACA